RNAcentral lists this ribosomal RNA (484 nucleotides) under uncultured bacterium. RNAcentral describes it as "partial 16S ribosomal RNA". It matches the Rfam family "Bacterial small subunit ribosomal RNA", at positions 29 to 507 of the family's 1533-position model. The record is from RNAcentral.
AUUGAACGCUGGCGGCAUGCUUUACACAUGCAAGUCGAACGGCAGCGCGGGCUUCGGCCUGGCGGCGAGUGGCGAACGGGUGAGUAAUACAUCGGAACGUGCCCAGUAGUGGGGGAUAGCUCGGCGAAAGCCGGAUUAAUACCGCAUACGACCUGAGGGUGAAAGCGGGGGAUCUUCGGACCUCGCGCUAUUUGAGCGGCCGAUGGCAGAUUAGCUAGUUGGUGGGGUAAAGGCCUACCAAGGCGACGAUCUGUAGCUGGUCUGAGAGGACGACCAGCCACACUGGGACUGAGACACGGCCCAGACUCCUACGGGAGGCAGCAGUGGGGAAUUUUGGACAAUGGGCGAAAGACUGAUCCAGCAAUGCCGCGUGUGUGAUGAAGGCCUUCGGGUUGUAAAGCACUUUUGGCGGGAACGAAAAGGACUGUGCCAAUACCACGGUUCGAUGACGGUACCCGCAGAAUAAGCACCGGCUAACUACGUG